This is a non-coding RNA of Pelobates cultripes (western spadefoot toad), 1154 nucleotides long. The record is from the annotation of a GenBank genome assembly. NCBI's taxonomy places the organism in Eukaryota, Metazoa, Chordata, Amphibia, Anura, Pelobatidae.
CGAGAUAUGUUCUGUUGGUCUAAAGUAGUAUUCCUUAAACGUCGAUUCGCGGGACCAGUCAGCUGUGCGGAGGAGGUCUUCCAGUUUACAUCCAAUGGAGAAUGCUUUAGAGGCUAUAGCGCCUCUAGUAGAGUGUGCCCCGUAAACGGCUGUGUCGAUAUUAGCAUUUGACAUUAUCCAUUUCACCCAACGUGUCAGAGUUCCCGUGGAUACUGGUUGAUGAGGUUUUCUCACUGCCAAGAACAAAUUAUGUGUUGUUGGGUUCCGGAAUGGCUGUGUCCGUAAUUCAUAUUCCUGCAGGCAUGCUACCGGGCAGAGGUUAGCGUUGUGAGGAAAGGAGGGAUAGAAGACUGAAGUGGUGUUCGACUUCGUACGUCUGGUGAUAUUAAACAGGACACCAUCCGGUGUGAAUGAUCGUGCAUCGAUGUCUAAGGCCCUCACGUCUGAUACCCGUUUGCAGGAAAUUAAGCAUAGGAGCAUCGCCAAUUUUGCAGACACUUGCUUGAGUGUGAGGUUCGAGUUUGGGGGCCAAUCUUGCAACAACCGAAGGACUAUAUUCACAUCCCAUAGGGCCGUGUAACGAGGUUGUGGCGGACGUGCGAAUUUUAUGCCUCGUAGGAGACGACAGAUCCAUAAGUGUUUCCCAGCCGGGAAGCCUUCCCAACCAGUGUGCCCAGCUGAAAUCGCUGACCUGUACACAUUUAUGGUGCGAUAAGCCAAGCCUUGGUCAUAAAGGGUAGUAAGGAAGCCCAAAACCUGGUUUAUAGGAGCACGUAUGGGAUCCACGUGCCGUUCCACGCACCAACUACACCAUGUGUUCCAGGCAUGAGCAUAGGAACGUCUUGUCCCUGGGGCCCAAGCUCCUGCCAAUAAUUCCAAAGUCGUUUGUGAAACAUUCGGCAUGGUCCAGGGUCCCCGGAGAGGAGCCAUGUUAGGAGUCUGAGAUGACCUUGCACCAGAAGUGGAUGAGAGUUCCCAUCGGGAUCUGAUAAUAAUUCCGUGCUCCCUGGAAUCAAUCUGGGGAGGUCGAUUGACAUUUCCAUGAGGGAAGGGAACCAUGGCUGUGCCGUCCAGAACGGUGUUAUCAAAACCAACGAUGCUCGGGAGCGCUGUAAGUGUAGGAGAGUCCGCGCUAUGAGUGAGAAAGGGGGGAA